Molecule: RNase P RNA, 402 nt
Filed under: Pseudomonadota bacterium
Lineage: Bacteria; Pseudomonadati; Pseudomonadota
Description: Proteobacteria bacterium (cold seep metagenome) RNase P RNA component class A
Rfam family: Bacterial RNase P class A
About the family: Ribonuclease P (RNase P) is a ubiquitous endoribonuclease, found in archaea, bacteria and eukarya as well as chloroplasts and mitochondria. Its best characterised activity is the generation of mature 5'-ends of tRNAs by cleaving the 5'-leader elements of precursor-tRNAs.
Source: RNAcentral
AGAGUAGGCCAAACGAUCGCUCGCAUCUUCGACAUAGUCAUGGAUGCGGGAGGAAAGUCCGAGCUCCACAGGGCAGGGUGCUCCGUAACGCGGAGUCGCGGUGACGCGAAGGAAAGUGCCACAGAAAACACACCGCCUUAAGGGAUUGGCCUUGUGCCUGUCUCGGAGGGUAAGGGUGAAAAGGUGCGGUAAGAGCGCACCAGUUCCCUGGGUGACCGGGGAAGCUAGGUAAACCCCACCUGGAGCAAGACCGAAUAGGGAAGCACUUGAGGACGGCCCGUCCGAGCUUCCGGGUUGGUCGCAAGAGGUUUUGAGCAAUCAACACCCCAAGAUGAAUGAUCGUUGUUCCGUAAAGGGUGACCGAUACGGAAAACAGAACUCGGCUUACGGCCUACUCUGACA